This 447-nucleotide ribosomal RNA is filed under the name uncultured bacterium. RNAcentral describes it as "bacterial SSU rRNA". It matches the Rfam family "Bacterial small subunit ribosomal RNA", at positions 329 to 793 of the family's 1533-position model. The record is from RNAcentral.
AGCCAGACUCCUACGGGAGGCAGCAGUGGGGAAUAUUGCACAAUGGGGGAAACCCUGAUGCAGCGACGCCGCGUGAGCGAUGAAGUAUUUCGGUAUGUAAAGCUCUAUCAGCAGGGAAGAAGAUGACGGUACCUGACUAAGAAGCCCUGGCUAACUACGUGCCAGCAGCCGCGGUAAUACGUAGGGGGCAAGCGUUAUCCGGAUUUACUGGGUGUAAAGGGAGCGUAGACGGCGAUGCAAGCCAGAUGUGAAAGCCCGGGGCUCAACCCCGGGACUGCAUUUGGAACUGUGUGGCUGGAGUGUCGGAGAGGCAGGCGGAAUUCCUAGUGUAGCGGUGAAAUGCGUAGAUAUCAGGAGGAACACCGGCGGCGAAGGCGGCCUGCUGGACGAUGACUGACGUUGAGGCUCGAAAGCGUGGGGAGCAAACAGGAUUAGAUACCCCGGUAC